This 415-nucleotide ribosomal RNA is filed under the name uncultured prokaryote. RNAcentral's name for it is "bacterial SSU rRNA". It matches the Rfam family "Bacterial small subunit ribosomal RNA", at positions 505 to 918 of the family's 1533-position model. The record is from RNAcentral.
GUGUCAGCAGCCGCGGUAAUACAGAGGGUGCGAGCGUUAAUCGGAAUUACUGGGCGUAAAGCGAGUGUAGGUGGCUCAUUAAGUCACAUGUGAAAUCCCCGGGCUUAACCUGGGAACUGCAUGUGAUACUGGUGGUGCUAGAAUAUGUGAGAGGGAAGUAGAAUUCCAGGUGUAGCGGUGAAAUGCGUAGAGAUCUGGAGGAAUACCGAUGGCGAAGGCAGCUUCCUGGCAUAAUAUUGACACUGAGAUUCGAAAGCGUGGGUAGCAAACAGGAUUAGAUACCCUGGUAGUCCACGCCGUAAACGAUGUCUAAUAGCCGUUGGGGUCCUUGUGACUUUAGUGGCGCAGUUAGCGCGAUAAGUAGACCGCCUGGGGAGUACGGCCGCAAGGUUAAAACUUAAAUGAAUUGGCGGGG